AGUGAACGCUGGCGGUAGGCCUAACACAUGCAAGUAGAACGGCAGCACAGUAAGAGCUUGCUCUUACGGGUGGCGAGUGGCGGACGGGUGAGGAAUACAUCGGAAUCUACUUUUUCGUGGGGGAUAACGUAGGGAAACUUACGCUAAUACCGCAUACGACCUACGGGUGAAAGCAGGGGAUCUUCGGACCUUGCGCGAUUGAAUGAGCCGAUGUCGGAUUAGCUAGUUGGCGGGGUAAAGGCCCACCAAGGCGACGAUCCGUAGCUGGUCUGAGAGGAUGAUCAGCCACACUGGAACUGAGACACGGUCCAGACUCCUACGGGAGGCAGCAGUGGGGAAUAUUGGACCAUGGGCGCAAGCCUGAUCCAGCCAUACCGCGUGGGUGAAGAAGGCCUUCGGGUUGUAAAGCCCUUUUGUUGGGAAAGAAAAGCAGCAGGUUAAUACCCCGCUGUUCUGACGGUACCCAAAGAAUAAGCACCGGCUAACUUCGUG
RNAcentral lists this ribosomal RNA (492 nucleotides) under uncultured bacterium. RNAcentral's name for it is "partial 16S ribosomal RNA". It matches the Rfam family "Bacterial small subunit ribosomal RNA", at positions 29 to 507 of the family's 1533-position model. The record is from RNAcentral.